Poecilia latipinna (sailfin molly) is the source of this 2091-nucleotide long non-coding RNA. RefSeq lists it as uncharacterized. The record is from RefSeq and is a predicted model, not a curated record. The transcript has 2 exons. Lineage: Eukaryota; Metazoa; Chordata; Actinopteri; Cyprinodontiformes; Poeciliidae.
AACGGCUGGAGGAGAGACAAUGGACUUAGUCCACAGCUGGGUCUGCUCAGUCAGGAAGCUGACAUGAUGAUUACCACACGGAGGCAACAGCAGGACUCCAACAAAUCCUAAUGGAGUUAGUAGUACCUCUUUCUGCUCUGGGCUCAUCAUCCUCCACUGCUGGGCGAUCUUCCUGACUACAUCCACCAGCUUGAUUUCUGAAGGGGAACCAAUGAAAGGCAGACUGAUUAGAAUCACAUGAUCUGUCUCAUGCUCUUUUCUUCCUCUCAAGGUCUGCACAUUGAUCCAGGGUCAAGAAUAAGGUGCUUAUGUUUGCCAUAUUAUUGCUAAAUUUCGCAAAAGCUAAAUAAAUGAUGAUUUGGAAACAUUUUCUACCUCUUUUGUUUCCUCAUCAUUCCAUGUCAGCUUUGGCAUCUCAGUCAUUAAAUAUCACAUCCAUAUUUUUAACAAUGUUCCACUAUGGAAUAUUUAAGCUUUUAAUAUGAUAAGCUCCCAGCAGCUGCAAUAUAAAACCACAAUAUGCGCAAAAUAUUUUAAACAUUAAUUGCACAUCUGAUCAGGGGUCAUGUUAACUGAAUAUUUUUCAUCUUGGAAUGUUUUUCUAAACUAUGAUGGGAAAAUCAGAAGGUUGUCUGCUAUUUUCACUCACACCUGACCGCUUGGUGCAGACAUAUUCAAUUUUACACAAUUGAAAAUCCAAAAUUCCCCACAUGAGCAUCAUCUCUGACCUGGACUAAAUCUGCAUCUUGUUCAGACUUCUGAUCAAGAGAAAUAUGACCUGAUUUCAAAACUUUGCCCAAAGUAGAACUUGUAAUUUCAGUCUUCAGUUCAGCAGCAGAUCAACAUCCAAACCCUGAGGUUGGGAACUUGAGGAAGUCGCGAGACAGUUCGUUCAGACAGAAUCGUUCAUAACCCAGGUGUGAUUAGAGUGCAAUCGUUUCAUUUCAUGGUUCACUCUGUUCAUCACCACUCUGUGGUUUUUGUCAGUGAGGAGAAAAAGUUGCAUGUCUUCAUCUGCUUGAUGUGUGAUGACACGAUGCAGAGUCUCUGUUCAGCUUGUUCAAUAAUGAUUAAACCAAAUAAAAAUGAAAUCCAACUGAAUAUGUUAUUAUUAUCAUUUUAGGAAUUCAUGGGUAAAAAUAGAUUAUGUGACCCUGUCAGUCAACCUCUGCUCCUAAUACCUUGACUUCUGUCUUGCAAUAUUACAUUGACCGUAAUCUGACAGAACUGACCCUGGAUUUAAUGACGGCCUUUCUGUUUGUUUGCUAACUGCUAGUUAGUCUGCUUCAUAUCCUUAUAGUUAUAGCCAUUCAUUCAAUAAAUAAUGUAUGAAGGACUUUUUUGUAAUAAUUAACUGAGAAGAACCAGAUACAGACUUUAAUCCAUUACAGGUUAAAAAUAAUCACCUUAAUUUUUAUUUUCUCUAAAUAUCAUGAUUUUUAAUAUGUUGAGUUUCUGAAUCAGGAACUGAGUGUGAUUGUUCUUCAUUGUGACCUGACUAAUCUUUUAGACGUCUCUAACGUGGUUCACAGCGUUGGUGAGAAUCCUUCAUAUUCAAAGUCAGUUUAGUUUUAAUCUAAGCAAACAUCUUCAGAUUAAUCCCAACAGAAUAAAAAAUGUAGUAAUCUUACAGCUGGAACAGUAUUUAUUUGAAUAAAUGUUGAUGUCCUGUAACAGCUGGACAUUCAAAAAUCACACAGACACAUUGGUUCAGAUCUGCAGCGUCUGCCAUUACAAGUUCAGAGCUGUGAUAACACUGGAUUAACAGCUCAUCUAAUCCUCCCAGCAAAGACUUAUUAAACCCGGCUCGAGAAAAGAUUAGCAGAAGAGGCUGCUGCUGGCCAGCCGAGUUACUAGGAUACAGUAAACAUACUCUACUGUACACGCUCUUUUUAAUGGAAUAUUAUGGAUCUGACUAAGUGGAUUUCUGAUUUGUUCUGAUGAAAUGUUAAGCUUUCUUCUUAUUCAGCAUAUACUCUCCUUCUUCCAGGAGAGGGCAAGUUGUCAGAGUUUGUAACAUAGCUCAGCUGGGUCUGGAAGUGUCCAGUUAAAGCCACAGUGACCGUGAAGAGUAAAAAAAAAAAAAAACAC